This 431-nucleotide ribosomal RNA is filed under the name uncultured bacterium. Its description in RNAcentral is "bacterial SSU rRNA". It matches the Rfam family "Bacterial small subunit ribosomal RNA", at positions 917 to 1349 of the family's 1533-position model. The record is from RNAcentral.
GGGCCCGCACAAGCGGUGGAGCAUGUGGUUUAAUUCGAUGCAACGCGAAGAACCUUACCUGGUCUUGACAUCCUGCGAACUUUCUAGAGAUAGAUUGGUGCCUUCGGGAACGCAGUGACAGGUGCUGCACGGCUGUCGUCAGCUCGUGUUGUGAAAUGUUGGGUUAAGUCCCGCAACGAGCGCAACCCCUAUUGAUAGUUACCAUCAUUAAGUUGGGUACUCUAUUGAGACUGCCGCUGACAAGGCGGAGGAAGGUGGGGACGACGUCAAGUCAUCAUGGCCCUUACGACCAGGGCUACACACGUGCUACAAUGGGUAUUACAGAGGGCUGCGAAGGUGCGAGCUGGAGCGAAACUCAGAAAGGUACUCUUAGUCCGGAUUGCAGUCUGCAACUCGACUGCAUGAAGUCGGAAUCGCUAGUAAUCGCAGGU